This 496-nucleotide ribosomal RNA is filed under the name uncultured bacterium. Its description in RNAcentral is "partial 16S ribosomal RNA". It matches the Rfam family "Bacterial small subunit ribosomal RNA", at positions 28 to 506 of the family's 1533-position model. The record is from RNAcentral.
GAUGAACGCUGGCGGCGUGCCUAAUACAUGCAAGUCGAGCGAACAGAUGAGGAGCUUGCUCCUCUGACGUUAGCGGCGGACGGGUGAGUAACACGUGGAUAACCUACCUAUAAGACUGGGAUAACUUCGGGAAACCGGAGCUAAUACCGGACAAUAUAUUGAACCGCAUGGUUCAAUAGUGAAAGACGGUUUUGCUGUCACUUAUAGAUGGAUCCGCGCCGCAUUAGCUAGUUGGUAAGGUAACGGCUUACCAAGGCAACGAUGCGUAGCCGACCUGAGAGGGUGAUCGGCCACACUGGACCUGAGCCAGGUUCCAGACUCCUACGGAAGGCAGCGGUAGGGAAUCUUCCGCAAUGGGCGAAAGCCUGACGAAGCAACGCCACGUGAGUGAUGAAGGUCUUCGGAUCGUAAAACUCUGUUAUUGGGGAAAAACAAAUGUGUAAGUAACUAUGCACGUCUGGACGGUACCAAAUCAGAAAGCCACGGCUAACUACGU